Molecule: transfer RNA, 73 nt
Filed under: Rachycentron canadum (cobia)
Lineage: Eukaryota; Metazoa; Chordata; Actinopteri; Carangiformes; Rachycentridae
Description: tRNA-Val
Rfam family: tRNA
About the family: Transfer RNA (tRNA) molecules are approximately 80 nucleotides in length. Their secondary structure includes four short double-helical elements and three loops (D, anti-codon, and T loops).
Source: RNAcentral
CAAGGUGUAGCUAAAACAAGUAAAGCAUCUCCCUUACACUGAGAAGUCGUCCGUGCAAAUCGGACCACCCUGA